AUUACUUUUAUACCUAAGAAAGAGUGGUCCAUGAAGGUGUCUGAUUUUUGAUUUUUUAGUCUGAUCAGUAUGUGUACAAAAUUAUUCCCAAAGUUCUUCCCCAAAUGUUAAUUGAGGUAUUGAAUGAGAACUAUAGUGCUUUUGCGGGAGUAGGAAAACUAUGGAUGCAUCCUGGAGGUGGUGGAAGAUGUUAGAAGAUUGCGAUAUGCUAAGUUAGUUCGCAAGUUGGAUUUUGUGAAGGUGUAUGAUUGCGUGAAUUGGGUUUUCCUUGAGAAAUUCUUGG
Molecule: long non-coding RNA, 283 nt
Filed under: Carica papaya (papaya)
Lineage: Eukaryota; Viridiplantae; Streptophyta; Magnoliopsida; Brassicales; Caricaceae
Description: long non-coding RNA (CPAP_LNC011697)
Source: RNAcentral